GGUGGCCACUCACCGUUGAAACAGUAGUCGAGGCUCGUUGCCCCACGAGCAACGCGAGGAGAAGCAACACUUUCGCCGAAUUCGAGCGUUCCAUCCUCGUUGUCUCGAUUCGUUUUUCAUCACGCGUUUAAUAAAAU
This is a long non-coding RNA of Apis florea (little honeybee), 137 nucleotides long. The record is from RefSeq and is a predicted model, not a curated record. Lineage: Eukaryota; Metazoa; Arthropoda; Insecta; Hymenoptera; Apidae.